Small nuclear RNA from Cricetulus griseus (Chinese hamster), 120 nucleotides. The record is from Ensembl. NCBI's taxonomy places the organism in Eukaryota, Metazoa, Chordata, Mammalia, Rodentia, Cricetidae.
GUGUUUAUGAAAGGAGAGGUUAGCAUGGCCCCUUGAAAAGGAUGUAAAAGCUUCAGGCCUAGUAACAGGCAUUGGUCAAGGCACUGCUGUCUGUUUUGUAGUAGUUAACUACUGUUUUUU